GGGAGUAGAAGGACCGCUGACAGGGUUAGACCCUGAGGAAAGUCCCCUCUCCAAAGUGUAAGAUGACCUAUCUGGAGUCAGGAAUGGCUGGCAAUGUAUUAGAAACGAACGAAUUUGAGUGUGUACUAUGAAUCUGGAAAGACGAGAUUGCUCAACAUUUGCUGAAACGAACAUCCUCAUCGGAGCAAGUCCAAACAAUCCCAUUGAGGUUGCACGCUUAGGGAAGGGUAGGACGCAUAGUUGAAUGCGGUCAACUGAAAAGUGAACAGAAAGGGGCUUACUCUCUACUCCC
RNAcentral lists this RNase P RNA (292 nucleotides) under Methanobacteriota archaeon. Its description in RNAcentral is "Euryarchaeota archaeon RNase P RNA component". It matches the Rfam family "Archaeal RNase P". Rfam says of the family: Ribonuclease P (RNase P) is a ubiquitous endoribonuclease, found in archaea, bacteria and eukarya as well as chloroplasts and mitochondria. Its best characterised activity is the generation of mature 5'-ends of tRNAs by cleaving the 5'-leader elements of precursor-tRNAs. The record is from RNAcentral. Lineage: Archaea; Methanobacteriati; Methanobacteriota.